GAUGAACGCUGGCGGCGUGCUUAACACAUGCAAGUCGAACGGAAAGGCCCUGCUUUUGUGGGGUGCUCGAGUGGCGAACGGGUGAGUAACACGUGAGUAACCUGCCCUUGACUUUGGGAUAACUUCAGGAAAUUGGGGCUAAUACCGGAUAGGAGCUCCUGCUGCAUGGUGGGGGUUGGAAAGUUUCGGCGGUUGGGGAUGGACUCGCGGCUUAUCAGCUUGUUGGUGGGGUAGUGGCUUACCAAGGCUUUGACGGGUAGCCGGCCUGAGAGGGUGACCGGCCACAUUGGGACUGAGAUACGGCCCAGACUCCUACGGGAGGCAGCAGUGGGGAAUAUUGCACAAUGGGCGGAAGCCUGAUGCAGCAACGCCGCGUGCGGGAUGACGGCCUUCGGGUUGUAAACCGCUUUCGCCUGUGACGAAGCGUGAGUGACGGUAAUGGGUAAAGAAGCACCGGCUAACUACGUG
This 468-nucleotide ribosomal RNA is filed under the name uncultured bacterium. RNAcentral describes it as "partial 16S ribosomal RNA". It matches the Rfam family "Bacterial small subunit ribosomal RNA", at positions 28 to 507 of the family's 1533-position model. The record is from RNAcentral.